AACGAACGAUGGCGGCAGGCCUAACACAUGCAAGUCGAGCGAGGACUUCGGUCCUAGCGGCGGACGGGUGAGUAACGCGUGGGAACGUGCCCUUUGCUUCGGAAUAGCUCUGGGAAACUGGGAGUAAUACCGGAUGAGCCCUUUGGGGGAAAGAUUUAUCGGCGAAGGAUCGGCCCGCGUUGGAUUAGGUAGUUGGUAGGGUAAUGGCCUACCAAGCCGACGAUCCAUAGCUGGUUUGAGAGGAUGAUCAGCCACCCUGGGACUGAGACACGGCCCAGACUCCUACGGGAGGCAGCAGUGGGGAAUCUUAGACAAUGGGGGAAACCCUGAUCUAGCCAUGCCGCGUGAGCGAUGAAGGCCUUAGGGUUGUAAAGCGCUUUCAGCUGGGAAGAUAAUGACGGUACCAGCAGAAGAAGCCCCGGCUAACUCCGUG
RNAcentral lists this ribosomal RNA (433 nucleotides) under uncultured bacterium. RNAcentral's name for it is "partial 16S ribosomal RNA". It matches the Rfam family "Bacterial small subunit ribosomal RNA", at positions 29 to 507 of the family's 1533-position model. The record is from RNAcentral.